This 496-nucleotide ribosomal RNA is filed under the name uncultured bacterium. Its description in RNAcentral is "partial 16S ribosomal RNA". It matches the Rfam family "Bacterial small subunit ribosomal RNA", at positions 29 to 507 of the family's 1533-position model. The record is from RNAcentral.
AUGAACGCUGGCGGCGUGCCUAAUACAUGCAAGUCGAGCGAACGGACGAGAAGCUUGCUUCUCUGAUGUUAGCGGCGGACGGGUGAGUAACACGUGGAUAACCUACCUAUAAGACUGGGAUAACUUCGGAAAACCGGAGCUAAUACCGGAUAAUAUUUUGAACCGCAUGGUUCAAAAGUGAAAGACGGUCUUGCCGUCACUUAUAGAUGGAUCCGCGCUGCAUUAGCUAGUUGGUAAGGUAACGGCUUACCAAGGCAACGAUGCAUAGCCGACCUGAGAGGGUGAUCGGCCACACUGGAACUGAGACACGGUCCAGACUCCUACGGGAGGCAGCAGUAGGGAAUCUUCCGCAAUGGGCGAAAGCCUGACGGAGCAACGCCGCGUGAGUGAUGAAGGUCUUCGGAUCGUAAAACUCUGUUAUUAGGGAAGAACAUAUGUGUAAGUAACUGUGCACAUCUUGACGGUACCUAAUCAGAAAGCCACGGCUAACUACGUG